UACGUACCGGACAAACGUUAUUCGGAAUUACUGGGCUUAAAGAGUGCGUAGGCGGCCUUGCAGGUGAGGUGUGAAAUCCCACGGCCCAACCGUGGAAUUGCGCUUCAAACCGUAAGGCUUGAGGGAGACAGGGGUGAGCGGAACUGAUGGUGGAGCGGUGAAAUGCGUUGAUAUCAUCAGGAACACCUGUGGCGAAGGCGGCUCACUGGGUCUUUUCUGACGCUGAGGCACGAAAGCUAGGGUAGCGAACGGG
RNAcentral lists this ribosomal RNA (253 nucleotides) under uncultured bacterium. RNAcentral describes it as "partial 16S ribosomal RNA". It matches the Rfam family "Bacterial small subunit ribosomal RNA", at positions 524 to 776 of the family's 1533-position model. The record is from RNAcentral.